Long non-coding RNA from Arachis stenosperma, 8041 nucleotides. RefSeq lists it as uncharacterized. Lineage: Eukaryota; Viridiplantae; Streptophyta; Magnoliopsida; Fabales; Fabaceae. The transcript has 10 exons. The record is from RefSeq and is a predicted model, not a curated record.
UCCCCAUUCUCUAUCUUUCAUUUGACGCUGUCUUUCCUCUCUCUAUCUCUCUCAUAAACCCAGAAUAGCCAUUCCCUUCGUUCUCUCCUCGAUUGGCUAUUCUCUCCUUCUGGCCUGGAUCAAUUCCGUCGGUGUUGUGACCUCGAUCCUUCCCUCUCCUCUGUGUGACACUCUCUUUCUCUCUCAUUUUCUCACUAUCUCUCUCGCGGUGUUGCUCUCACGAACCCAGUUCUCUACUUCUCGAUCUUUUUUGCAUUCUACCGUCCCUUGCUUUUGCUUGAGACACACACUCUCUCCUUCUCUAUCGAUGUUUUUCUGACUCUGAAACCCUAGCCCUUCAACCCCAUUUUCCUCCCUUCAGUUCGGGUUUCUCUUCAAAUCUGGCUAUUCUCUCAAUGCUGCUCUGCGAUAUCUCUCUCUAGGAAAAUUAUUGAUCUCAAUGGACCGAUGCUGUAAAUGGCUGCAGUGACACCAACAGCAUCUAUGAAGAGGAAGAAACGAUUUCUUCAAUUACUCAAAAUGCCGGUAUAUGCCCAGCGGAAUCGGGAUCUGGUCCAGUCAAAGCGGGGGGCUGGCGACGGAAGCGCUAAAGGCAAACGUUACCGAGUUUCAUCGCUGUUUUCUGCCGCCAAUGACCCCUCAGAACAGUGUCCGGAGGCAUUGCGGAGGCCACUACGGAAACCAUUAUGGCGAGUUCGCGACUGAAAUGGUAGACCUCGGAUGAGGGGCUGGAAAAUUUGGCCGAACACAGCAGAAGUCCUUUAAUUCCAAAUGUUCGCUCACCAGAACAGAGAUUAAUUGAGUAUCCAGCUGGAUUCUGAUCUGAGAUUGCAUCGGAGUUCUAGGGAAAUAGAAAUGAGGUCAGAACGUCUGCAAGAAAGUUAAGUUAAAUAAUUUUUCUUCUUGCUUAUAUUUAUAUAAAUUAUAUUUAAUUUGUUCUUUUUUUGUGGUUUAAUGUUUAUUUUAUUUUGAGAUAAUGCAUAUUUUAGAACGAGUGAAAUGAGAAGAACCGGUUGAUUGUAGGAAGAGUAAAGAGCUUUUGGCUUUUUUUGAAGUUAAAGAUUGGUUUCUGAUAUAUAUUUAGGUCCCGUUUGGAUAACCAACUUAAUUAAGCUCCUUUUGAUAAAAUAACUUAAACAAUAAAUGACUCUGUUAAAAGUAACUUAUAAAUAAGCUAUUUUGUGUUUGGAUUUUUAACUCUAAAAAUGUUUAUUUUAUAGAAAUGUGAUGAAAAGUAGAAGUAUUAUGAGAGAAGUCAUUUUUUUAAACUUCUCUAUAUGUUCCUAAAUAGCUUCUUAGAAAGUUGCAAUUUGAUUUUGAAAAUUGCACCCGACAUUAAUACUACUACUUUUCAUAAGUUAAAAGUUAAAAAAAGUACUUCUAAAGUUUUCCAAACGGACCCAAGUGGUUCUAAUAUUCUAUAUGCUAAAGUUUUUGCUUUUUUUAUGAGUUGUUAUGUUAAUAUAAUACAUUGGAAUGAGGAGUUGUGUUGAGACAAUUUUUCUUUUUAUGUUUAUUAUUUACAUUGUUUAUUAGUUUGUUUAAGUUAUUCAAUUCUAUCAUUCUAUGCUUGACAUGAUCAUGUAUGUUCCUGCAUAUGUAAUCUAUCCUCUUUUUCUCUCUAUGAUUAUGUAAGGCUGUGGAAGUUCCUUUAUGUAAAUUUUAACAAGUGUGCAAAUUUAUAUUAUGUCUAUUAAUUUUAAUAGUGACUCCUGCGAUAUCUCCAAUAUAAAUUUUCUAGACAGCCAAGAAUACUUAUAGUUUUGGUUUUAAUUUCUAUUUAUCUCUUAUGAAAAUUUGCAAUCGCUUUGUUGCCUUAGCUUGAUUGUAUAUAUGUUUUUGUUUCACAUGGAAAUAUGCUAAGCAUUCUAUUUUGAUUGAAUCAUUCGUUUAUUCCUUUUUUUCAUUUCUCUUCUUGUGUUGUUUGAUUUAACUUUUUAUUGUAGUUUCAUUCUCUUCUUCAAGAUACCACCCCUGCUGAAUUGCUGAUCACUUCGAUCUUUGUUCUCAUUAUUUAGCUACCACCAUCCAUGACUGCAGCAGCUUCAGGAGAAAUCGCUUGAACUGUUGUCGGCAUCUUAGGAAGUAUAAUUUCUGCCUUCCUGUUGUUGUCCCCAGUCAACUGGAACAGAAGCAUGUGGAGAAAAAACACUCAGAAAGUGAGACACAUCUUCUAAUAGUAUAAAGAGCAUGGGUUAUUCAGCCAGGUGUUGCUUCCUCAGCUCUUUGGAGCCCAAAAUGUAUACGUGACAUCUCAGUUUUUUGGAUUACAAAAUAAAGGGUAAGACUUGGUUCACUCUCUCUCUUCAAAACCCUAAUGUCUCAAAGUUCUCUCUAUCCCUCCCAAACGUAGCAGCGGCGGACUAAGCAGAGGAAGAGGGUGAUGAAGACUCACAGGCGAGAUGGACUAUAAUGGGGCGGAGGACGGCUCGAGACUUCUCUUUCUGAGGCAGUGACUCUCCCUCCCAAACGCAGCAGCGGCGGAAUGAUCACAGCAAGAGGGCAAUGAGGAGUCAAAGAGGCGAGAUGGACUAUAACAGGGUGGAGGAGGGCUCGAUGGGAAGGGAGUUCUUCCUCUGAUGCGGUAUCACCCGCGAAGUCGUUUUAUCCCAAAACGACAAUUCCAAGAUCCACUGCCUCAUGUCGAGUGAUGAUGCUGUGAAACCCGUACCCUUCGCUCGCCGGCGCCCCACCGGAGAAGCUACCAGCAGCUCCGAUUCCUCUCACCGCAAGCGCACCAAAUUUCUCCAUCAUUUCAAAGGAUGGAUUUGAUUCUAGUUGUGAGGUAGAGGCCGAAGGUGAAUGUGAUGAAUCUGACGUAGCAAAAGUAGAUCAAGGGGUCAAAAUGGAUCUCAUCGAGGAUUUAUUGCAAAUAGUUUUCUCAUUUUUGGAUCCUCCCAAUCUAUGCAAAGCUGCGCCAGAGUUUGUACGCAGUGGAGCUCCUGAUGAGCAUAAUCACGGGUACUCCAUUUAGAUUUCUAGCCACUUCUGAAAAUCGAAUUUCUAGAUACAUCUACACCGUAUCUCUGCCAACUGAUUGGGAUUCCUUUUUCUUAUUUGGAGGUGAAUGAUGGGUUGGCAUGAACUACAAAUUACUAACAGUUUUAGAAUUAGAAUGUAAUGAAUGUGUUAAUUUUGGAGUGUGAUUUUUCAUUGGUAGUUAUUGUUUGUGUCUUUGCGACUGCAGUGGGAGAUUUUAGAAUGUAAUGAAUGUGUUAAUUCUGAAAAUGUUUAUUCCCAUUCCGUGAAAUCAUAUCCUUCUUCAAAUGAUGUUUUGCCUUUACAAUACUAUACAAAUGAGAAUCAGAUAUCGGGACUCUCUGGAGUUCGCAAUACUGGUGUUUUAGGUUACACGACGUCUGUGGUACCUUUGGAAGCAUAGUGCUCUGGUGGAAAUUCUUUUGCCUUGCAUGAUUUUAUAAGUAAGGAUAUCUUGUGUGUUAGAAAUUUCUUUAUGUAUCCCUUACAGCUAUUAUCCACAUGGAAAUUUUUAAAAUUGGGUCUUAUCUUCUGCCUGCUUAUAUUAUGUCUUAGUUGACAAAAAAAGCCAUUUCUCCGGUAAUAAAGGGGUUAGUUCCUUGUCUUCUUCCUCUACUAUUCUAACUUUUAAGGCCUUAAUUGUUUUUCAUCUGAAUCUAGCUAUUUGUGUCUCAUAUUCGAAGCCAAUGAUUGGUAACUUGAUUGGCAUGCAAGAUCAAUAUUCUUUGAGUUUUGCAGAAAGAAAAAGUUUUGUCUUGCCAAUCCAUGAAUAUAUCAUGGAAGUAGAUGGUGAGGAGUGACAGAUUUAAGAUGGGGCAAGAUUGUAAGAACAGUAUCUUCAUAAAAGGACUGUGAAUGAAGAUCUCAGAGAAAUCUUCAUUGAGAUGAUUGAAAGGUGUUGACAAUGGCCGAUGUAAGUUUAUCUCACUGAUAUGAAAUGACACUCGCUAGGUGUUUAGCAGAAAUGUUUCUUUUUUUUAUUUCUAAUUUUUUUAUUGUUAUUUGUUUGUUUAAUGCAUUGGUUUAUUGGAUGAUACUCCCUGCGAGAAUUGGAAGAACUGAGACGAGUGCCUCUCUUGCUCUCGCUCUCUAAUAUUGGAUUAGCGGUAUUUGACGUCAAAUCAAAUCGGCCACCGAAAGUUCGUGGACGCUCGAUAGGGAGGUUCAGCUCUCGAAGUCCAAGAUCUGGCAGUUAUUCUUGGUUUACAGUGACAUUUUGUUUUAAGAGCCAAAUUGAUUGUACCUUCGACUUCCCAUUUAGGUUUGUGGUACUUUAACCUCUUGCAAUCCUUAGCUCUACUGCUUUCUUUCUUGCAAUCCUUUUUGUUUCGGUCUUCUUCCUGUCUUUCUGAAGUUGACAUUUUAUUGAUGGAUUGUCUUAUGUAUUUUAAAUUUUUCUAUUAUUGGUUUUAUAUUCUUUUAAUUUGAGUGACUUUACUAUUAUAUUUUUCAAGAUGUGUUUUUCAGCAUGUUUUAAAAUCUUGGUUUUAAUUUUCACAUAACUUCUGUAAAACAUAUAAUUUGAAUAAAUUAUUGACUGUUAUUUAUUAAUUCUUGAUUCUUUUGGAGAUAUGGUUCAGUAUCUCCUUUUUCAGUAUCUCUUUUAUAUUCUUUUAAACGUACAAUUUUUAGUGUUUCUCUUUUUUCUUUCUCGAUUUCACGCCUUGAGCUACUUGGAUUUCUUAUGCUUUCCUUAAUAUUAAAAUUGCAAGAUAAAUUAGGCUUUAAGAUCUGACAAAUGUUAUUAGCUUUAUCAAUUCUUGUGUAUAAUUGACUUUAGCUUUGCUUUGGUUAAGGAUUUUGUCUUUAGAAUAAAAAUAUUUUGCUGCUUUGUUUGAAAAAAAUGAAGAAUAAUUUUUUGGGAUUCUGAAUUGACUUGAUGAAUUUUUUUGGAUUAAAUUUGCUGUUUUUCAUCUGAAAUGUGUUAAACAUGUAUUUUUUUGUUGGGUCGUCGUUAUUAUCCAUCUGUUUUAUAGGUCCCUUUUCAUUUUCUUCUAAAUCUACAUCAAUUUACUGUUAUUUUAGUUGUAGUCUUUUGGUAGAUGGUUAUGUUUAUUGAUGAAAUAUGUUUUGUUUUGAUUUCUGUUUGUAUUAUUACCUUUUAUUGUAUUGAUUUUUAGCCAUAAAUAGUUUUGGUUGGAAAUGUUGUUACAGUUGUGAAAAGAUUAAUUCAAACCUUUUUUUCCCAUUAUUCUUUGUGGCAUGAACAGUUGCUCUAUUUAGCUAUCAAGCUUAUGUUGCUUCUUUUUCUGAGAAGUUUGAGUAUUUGAUUCUGUUGCUAUAUUUUUUUAAAUAAAAUUAGUAAAAAAAUUAUCUUUAUUUGUUGCUCUCUUUUGUUUAUAUCUUCAUUCCUUGAUUGUAUUUUUUUUAAGCACAAUUUUUGAACUUUAUUGAUGGCCUCUUUCUUCUUGGGCAUUUAACUACAUAGAUAAUUAGCUUGUGUGUAUCUUCAUUGGGAAUAUGACAUUUUUUUAUUGGAAAUCUAAUUAUAUAGGAACCCUAAUAAAAUAAUGAUACCUAUACUAAAUGGUGUCAUCAUCUAAGUCUACCACCCCUAAAUGUAUGCAUAGGUUUUCUUUUUAUUUUGGUUCUCGCUUUUCCCAUAUGUGUUACUUCAUGUUGUUUUUGUUAUCUUUCUCUUCUCUCUCCUCCUCUUGUCAUCCAAUCCUCUUUCUUGCUCAUAUCUAUAUGAAAUGUGGGAAAUCAUAUUUCAUAGUUUUAUGAAUUCAAAGGAUUUUUUUGUAGUUAUUGAUUUGAAGUUUUUCUUAGUUGUUUAGUAUGUAUAGUCUUAUCUGUGUAAACUAAUACAUGUAUACUGCUUGAUAGAAUGUCUAUGUGAAUAAUUUGAAAGUUAAAUUUAAUGCUAUAGAUCUUUACAAAAUAUAUUUAUAAAUCAGAAAUAGAAAUCAAUCUCAAGUUUUGGUAAAAGAAUCGGAAUAUAGUUUUAAAUUUUAACAUUCAGAUUACAUGAUUAAGAAAAGGUGGAGCUAUAAUGUUAAUAGUGAUAGAGCUAUGAUAAGUUAUAUGUUCCUAUUAUAUAAUUGUACACUGCAUGAAUUGUGCUUAGACAAAAUGUGUUAUUUCUUUGAAUUGUACUUGAAUUGUACUUGGUAGUCUUGGCUUCAAAUUUUGUUUUGCUUGUGUGUUUUUUUGUUUAAAUUUCAGAUUGUAUUAUUGCCUUUGAUAUUCUUGAUUUUCAGCUACAUGCCUUUGUAAGUUUACAAAAAAUAUUUUUGAGCUAUAUGCCUUUUAUAUGCACUUAGUUGUUAUCUAUUUGGCACACCAUUUGUGACUUACAUCAUAUGCUUGAGGAAGACGAUAACUUUUUGUGAUGAGGCAUGUUUGUACAGAACCAAGUGCUGAAUAUUUGGAAGUUAUAUUUUUUUAUCUUUUUAUGACUAUAAGACGCUUCUUGCAUAAGUUACUCUCAUUUGGUUCUUCUCUUUAUGAAAAAAUAGUAAUAUUUUGAAAGAUUUUAUUUUCUAAUUUGUAUAAUAAUUAAAGAAGUGUACUACUAGAGGAUUUGCUUAUUGUUUACUAACAAAAAUUUAGUUGCUUCAAUUCGUCACUUGAAUUGGAUGUUGCCUAUUUAGUGAGGUGACAUGCUUUCAAAUUUCAAUUUUCUAUAUUUUGUCAUGAAAAGGUUUCAAAGUUCUUUUUGUUCUUUGUUACAAGUUUGGGUGUAUUCUUUGGAUCUUUGAUCUUGAGUUUGAAAAUGCUAAAAGUUUUUCAAAAUAAGUUAACAAGUGUGGUUUUAAUUUAAUCAAUUUGUGUGCACUUUCUUAAAAGUAGUUGAAUAUAACAAGUCUUAUAAAAAUCCCAAUUGCUAAUCAAGGUUUAUGUUUUGGACUAUGUUGUUUAUAACUUUAUAUUUUAUUUAUUGUCACAUAAUAUAUGAAGUUGAACAAUAUCUCAUCACAACUGAUUUAUAGAGGGCUGACAUUUCAUUUUGUUCUUUGUCCUUUGUUUUCUAUUUUCAUUUUGUUCUUUUUUGUUUGUUGUUUUGUACGGUAAAACCAAUUUUAAAAAGUUUUAGUCGUUUGGAAUGGUCACUUAAGUUGACUAACACUUAUUUAGUCUCAUUAAAAGUUCUCAAAAUCAUUUUUGUUUGUUAUGCUGAAUUUUCGUUUAACUUGUGUCUCUCUAGAAUAUGACAAUGUUUGAAAUGUUGAUAUCAACUAUUUUAUACUUUUUUCUCUACAAGAACAUUGAUCCAAGACAAAGGGAUAACCAAAUUUACUAAAAAAUGCUUCCUUUAGAGUUUCUGAUAUAUAUAUAUGGUCUACUCUCAAAUUUAAGCUAUGUUGAAAUUUUAGAGAGAUUCUUGAGUAUGAAGUAGAGCAGGAAAUGUGUGUUUUAGAAGGGAAUAUCGCCACCUACCAGACUAUGACAGCACUUAUGACUAUGGUUGAAUGCAUAUGGCGAGUUGGUGACAAAAAAUAGAUAGAAUCAUCUUAUUUAGAUUUAAUUUUAAGCUUGAGUGGUGCAUGAGAAGAAGAAAUUAAUGUGUUUGAGACACCGACCAUUUUCAAUCAGUUGGAUGGUGGGGAACCAUAAAUUAAAAUAAUAUAUACACACAUAUGCAUAUAAAUGCUUCUAUACUACUAUUACUCAUUCUCAUUAUUGCAUUUAUGCCAAAUGUAUGUAGAAAUUCAUGAACGUUUUUUGUCCAUACAUAUGAAGCCAUUGAUUUCUAAUUAAAAUGUAUUGAACCUGAAAGUUACGAGGCCAUGGGCUUCACUUAAAUUCUCAUUCUCUUUCAAUUAUGUAUUUGGUAUUUUAUGUUUUUCUAGUUAGUUUCCCUCCUCACUCGCAAUAAGUUAAGGUUGUCAAUUUCACAUUAAUAUCCAAGUUCAUCCCUUGCCAUUAUGUUCUGGGUUUUGGGUGUAUUCUUUGGACUUUUUAUUUUGCGGUUGAAAAUUCUAAAAGUUCUUCAAAAUAGGUGAAAAAGUGUGGUUCUCUCUUAAAGAGAAAAAAUUGGACCAAAUCUGUGAUAAAGUGGGAUUCUCUUUCAGUAUAAAGCAAGGUUUUGAGAACCGAACCGGUCAUCGAACUGUUCUAG